Sapajus apella (tufted capuchin) is the source of this 603-nucleotide long non-coding RNA. RefSeq lists it as uncharacterized. The record is from RefSeq and is a predicted model, not a curated record. Lineage: Eukaryota; Metazoa; Chordata; Mammalia; Primates; Cebidae. The transcript is spliced from 4 exons.
UUUCCAAGCCAAAGCAAACCAUCCUGGCGGUCAGGGGCCAAGAUAACGGGAAGGCGGCCGGACGCACCAAUCAGCAGCGCCCAAGUCUCGUUAGCGCAGACCAGCCGCCCGUGGCCAGGCCGGGCAGCUGUUGAUCCCCGGGCCAUUCUUUUAAAGCCCAGUCAGAGCGCGGGUGGGAAGCGAGCGAGGAGGGCUGAGCCAGGGAGUGAAGGGGUGGAGGAGAAGGAAACCUGGGCUGUGUUUCUCAAAUGAACCUCUGCAGAACACAGGUUGCUUCAGAUGUUGCCUGUGUCUGUACAGCUCAAAAGCCAGCUCUCUCAUUGAUCUGUGCACUUGAGAGUGUAAGCCAGGACUGUAAGGACCAUCUGCUUCUUAUAUGAGAGGAGGGGAAACAAUCUGCCAUAUUAUGAGCAUCUUUAUGCAAAGGCCCAAGUGGCUAGAAAUGGAAGUCUCCUGCUAGUAACAUAGCUUAGAAGCAGAUCCUCCAGCCCAAGUCAAGCUUCUAGAUAAGUUCAACUUGCCAGUCAGCUUGACUGCAACCUCAUGAGAGAUCCUGAGCUAGAACCACCCAGGCAAAUUGUACACAGGUUCCUGACCCUAAGA